Molecule: non-coding RNA, 74 nt
Organism: Galeopterus variegatus (Sunda flying lemur)
Lineage: Eukaryota; Metazoa; Chordata; Mammalia; Dermoptera; Cynocephalidae
Source: the annotation of a RefSeq genome assembly
GGCCAGUUAGCUCAGUUGGUUAGAGCGUGGAAUAGAUAACACCAAGGUCAUGGGUUCAGAUCCCAUACUGGUCA